GUCGAGCGGACAGAAGGGAGCUUGCUCCCGGAUGUUAGCGGCGGACGGGUGAGUAACACGUGGGUAACCUGCCUGUAAGACUGGGAUAACUCCGGGAAACCGGAGCUAAUACCGGAUAGUUCCUUGAACCGCAUGGUUCAAGGAUGAAAGACGGUUUCGGCUGUCACUUACAGAUGGACCCGCGGCGCAUUAGCUAGUUGGUGGGGUAAUGGCUCACCAAGGCGACGAUGCGUAGCCGACCUGAGAGGGUGAUCGGCCACACUGGGACUGNNNCACGGCCCAGACUCCUACGGGAGGCA
RNAcentral lists this ribosomal RNA (299 nucleotides) under Bacillus sp. (in: firmicutes). RNAcentral describes it as "Bacillus sp. (in: Bacteria) partial 16S ribosomal RNA". It matches the Rfam family "Bacterial small subunit ribosomal RNA", at positions 61 to 350 of the family's 1533-position model. Lineage: Bacteria; Bacillati; Bacillota; Bacilli; Caryophanales; Bacillaceae. The record is from RNAcentral.